Molecule: long non-coding RNA, 8349 nt
Filed under: Podarcis lilfordi (Lilford's wall lizard)
Lineage: Eukaryota; Metazoa; Chordata; Lepidosauria; Squamata; Lacertidae
Source: RNAcentral
CGUGGCGGUUGGAAUCGUGGCCGCUCUAAAUUAAAUUAGGGUGGUGUGGUUUUUUUAAGGACGUUGUGGCCGCGCCUUAAAUUAUGGUUUCGGGUGACUUGUUAGAAAGGCGGAGGCCCGUUUUAGAUUUCGGUAUUGGGGAGUCAUAAAGGUUCUCUGGGUGGAAAACUUAAAAAGACGGGCAGCUUAAAGAAUAAAAGACACGGGAACUAGCGUAGAAUUCGUGCAUACGAAGCACGGACGUUUGCAUUGCAAGUUUGCACGCGCAAUGCAAGCAUUCUUGCUUCGUAUCCAUAGGCUGCGAAAUGCCUUUUACCAGUAAUGCAAUCCUGCACGUGUCUUCUUCGGAGCAAGCCGCCCCGACCCAGCUAAAUUUGCUGGGAUGGCAACUUUGGAGAGGACGCAGCAGGAACAGGCGCUUCUGAGAACCGAAAUCCCGUCUGAAGGUUUACUUAAUCUAGGUCCGUUGCUUGAAUUUAACUCCCGUGGGGCUGGCCAUUCCCAGGUGCGUGAAUAGGGGGUAACCCCGCAAUCGCUGCCGUGCAUGCAUCGCAACAGGGAUGAGAGGCAGCAGAAACCAUGUAACUUCGUAAAUCGUGGACGGGGUGAGAAAAGAAAAGGAGACUGAACCGUGACGUGCAGCAGCAGCAACAGCUACCUACCAGCAAAGCGACACUAAAGCACCACCUCGCGGUCGGGUCCGAUACAAUCGUAAACAUCUCCAUCUUGGCUUUCGGUUGCCUAGCCUAACAGCACCGCCCUCUCUGCCGCCAUUUAUGGAGAACAGAAGCACACGCCCGUGUAAAUAGCCUCAAGUCUCCCUCCUGUGUAACAGAUCUGCCUUUCAGCCUUGAAUUGAAUCUUUAACCACGUCAGGCGGGGGAGGGGGGUCACAUGCUUCAUUUCUUCAUCAGGGGGAAAAAAGUCCCUGUACUUAGAAAAGUAGAAUGUCAUGGAGAAGUUAAACCAGAUUUUCUGUAAAGUAUUCUUAGCAUUUUUGGUGCAGAGGAACCUACAUGUAGUCUUAAAUAGUAUAGUCUAGUAACCACAGGAGUUUUCUAUUAAGUAGUGGGUUGACAAAGCAGACGACACAGAGAGUUCUCCAAGUAGCUCUUUAUAGUAAGCUUGAACUGAACUGAAGGGUUCAGCCAACCUGCUUAUAUAGAGCUCCACUACAACGCAACAGUAACAACUUUCUGUAACUAUCCAAUCACUGAACAUCACUUUCAAUUCCUUAUUUGCAUAUGUGGACCUGAGUGAAAACUAUCUACAGUACCCCCCCUGCUGGCCCAGGGUGAGAACUUCAGUACAUAACAUUUUCCUAAUCCCCAAAUGCUUUGGCUCCUACUUUUGUACAUGUUCCUUAUGACAGUUUAAAGCCACUGCUGUUCUUUUGCCCAACCUUCGUUCUUCCUGUUUUGUAGGCCAAAAAUAACUGAGGAUAUUCCAAAUGAAAAUUAAGAUCUGUACUAGGAAAGGAAGGUUGGAUGGUGUAGUAAUGUACACACAGUUGAAGAUAUAGGAGACAGAAACAUUAACAUGACCAGCAGUGGGAGGAGACUAAGCAGAUGCUGAGUGAGUGAUUUGAACCUCCAUUUAUUUCCAACUUUUCCUAGGUUCAGAGUGUGCAAGAUUCUCAUGCCAAGCGUUCCAAAAGGCUGUCAGAGAUCUAAUCAUGCAGAUCAAUUAAGAAGUUAGAGGCAAUACUACAAUGAAAAAAUAUGAAUAGGCAUAUCAGAAUGAAAGGGCGUAUUAUUUCUUAAAUAAGGAAGCAAAGCAUUCACUAAGCUUGAUUCAAAUGGACAGUGGAGGUUAAUUAUAAUGAGAGGGCAUUUAAAUCCAACAAUCAGAAAUAAAAGAUGUCAGUUAAAAUGAUUACUGUAUACUUCUGUUAGUAACUGACAAUGGCAUUCUAUGCUUCUCUAUUCAGAAGUAAGUUCCCCUGAGUUCAGUAAGCAAGUUGGUAUAUUUUGUUUAUGAAGCAAGAACAAGGUGGCUAAUUUAAAACAAAAGGUGUGCAGCACAAUCCUAUGCAUGUUUAUUCAGAUAUGAGUCCCCAUGUUCAGUGUAAGUAUGUUCAACAUGGCACCCUAAAGCACAUUCAACAAAUUUCCAUGGAUCGUCAAUUAAUGGCUAUGUUACUAAAUGCAUUGCUUUAAAAGACUGACCAACAGACCAUCCUUUUAUUGGUCAAAAUCAGAAAAUAGAAUAUUGUAGGUCAAACCACAGAAUUCCCAAAAUAAGCCAAAUUCAGUCUGUGUCUCUUAACUACUUGCUAAGGUACAUGAGAUCAUCAGCUGACAUAUACCACCAAAGAUGAAAAUAUCUAAUGCUAGCUUGAUGUCAUCUGCUUUUUAUAUGUAGCUACAACAUUCUGGGUUUGACCUCUUUUCUUAAUUUGAACUUACAGAUUCUAUGGUGAUAAGUAGAAUUUUACUUUUGUUCGACCAGUGCAUUAUUGAAGUAGGUGGUGUUCUUUGGCAGAAUUGUUAUGGAACUCCUUCAUUUGAGUGGGAGCUGUUCUAACACUAGGGUGACUCAGAGUUUGCUUCAAAAUAUGAAUCAUCUCAGAUCUGCCAUUUCAAAACCUCCUAAGCUAUGCAGGUACGAUUAUAAGAACUGGCUUCCGUAAUCCCCAAAUGGCCAAAUGUUCUGCAAGAAAUCACACGGGGUUCAAAAUGUAACAUGCAAGAUUUCAAAUUACAUAGAUGGCUUUCUUGGGACAGCCAUUUAAUAUCAAACAUGUUUUGUGACUAAAAAUAGACCAUUCUGCUGACAUGGUGCAUAAUGCUAAACUGGGCUUCUCUUUGCCAGUAACCUCAGAAUUCCCCCCUUCCUGUUUUCAUGUCUUCAUAGUUUUCUUUAUAGUCAUGAGUACCUUGCAAGGUUUGUUUCUCUGCUUGUCCAAUUGACACUGGAAUUGGAGAUGGCACUAUAGGAGAGGGACUUGCACGAAAAUAGCAAAGGUUGGAAUACCACCAUCUCACCUUUUCCUCAAACCAUCCAACGAAGGGUUGCACAUUUCUCUCGUGGCACUAGGGAAUAUCCCUACCGGCAAAGGGUGGCAUAAACGUGCUAACCCUAGACACUAUGGGGUGGUUGGGAAUCGUGUUGGCCGGGAGAAAAUAAGUGUAACACAAUGAACCAGAAUGUAGGACAAUGUUAGGAAGGCCUUAGUUGCAUCUCAUAGCACAAGCCCAUCAGUUUCAUUUGCUCUCACCAAUUAUGGCUUUGGGGUCGCAGCAAGAGUUAAACCACCCUUCAUCACCAGUGUAAUUGUGGAUGUCAUGCACCAGUCAUUGUGGAAGCAACAAUGUAGAGCGCAAUGUAGGAACACAAGAAGCUGCCUUAUACUGAGGCCAGACCCUUGGUCCAUCUAGUUCAGUAUUGUCUAUAUACUGACUGGCCGUGUCUCUCCCACCAUUACCUGGAGAUGUCAGGGGUUGAACCUUCUGCAAGAGUAGAUGCUCUACUACUAAGCUAUGGUGCUUUCCAACCUCAUUCUUCCCAUGAUUCCUUGUAGUUCCUGCUUAUUUGUGUGUUAACAUCUAAAUUCUUAGUACUUUAGUGUGCUUCUUCUGAACACAAGCAUUCAAAACAGUGUCAGCCAGUAUCUCCUGACUCUGUUAGCAUCUGACCCUGAGAAACACCCUCAUCAGAAUUUGACUAUGUACAGUGACAGUAAUACAUACAGUGGUACCUUGGGUUACAGAUGCUUCAGGUUACAGACUCCGCUAACCCAGAAAUAGUACCUCGGGUUAAGAACUUUGCUUCAGGAUGAGAACAGAAAUCGAGGCACGGUGGCAGCGGGAGGCCCCAUUAGCUAAAGUGGUGCUUCAGGUUAAGAACAGUUUCAGGUUAAGAACGGACCUCCAGAACGAAUUAAGUUCUUAACCCGAGGUACCACUGUAUAUGCAAACAGUUUCUGUUUCUUUUUGCCUUUUAUAAUCAGUUUUUCUGUCAGUUUAAUUUUUGUUGUAUCAUCUUGUUGAAACGUAACAUUAAAUGUGAUCCCUAUUAACACUGUUAUCCAUUUUCUAAGACAUUACAGAACAUAUUUAUAUAUUUCUGUUGGUGGUGGCCUGGAUGGAAACAGCAAAAAUCUGGAAAAUACCUUCAGGCUGCUCAAUCCAAGGAUGGUUCACAAGAGUAUGGCACAUUAUCCAGAUGAAAAAUUAACACAUCACAGCAGAUUAGUUAGAGGGUUUGUUAAAUAUUACGUUUUUAUCCUACAGCAGGGCAUAUAAACCAUUUAUCAUUUUGGUGGAAAAGUGUUUGUUGUCAUGGAAAACUUUCCUAACAAUGCAUCACAUCACUAUUCUUCAGCUAAUGUUAUCUAUCACUGGUAAAACUGUUUACAUUUCUCUUUGUGCAAAUUAUAAUUUGAUUGCUGUUUAAUGCUUAUGUUUGGUCAAAUCUGUUUUUAAAAAUGUAACAAUAGUAAUUGGCCGUUUGCCUGUCUGAUUUGUAACAAUACAGUUCUUUAUUUUUCAGUGGCUUUCCCCAUACAUUUUCUGCUGCUUGUAAAGAUCACUUAGUGCUGCAUUUUGGUUUUAGUGCUGUUUAUUUCUUUGGUAUGUAAUUUUUAUGGUAUGGAUUUUCUUUAAUGUUAACCACUUUGAUAAAUAUUCUUAAUGCAUUUAAUAAUGAAAUUAAAUCACAUUUAGUCUGCAGUCAAAGACAAAUUGGCUUCACAAUUUGCUUCGCUUCAAAACAGAGUACCGUAUCUUUGAGGCCUGACCAUACAGUGGUACCUCAGGUUAAGUACUUAAUUCGUUCCAGAGGUCCAUACUUAACCUGAAACUGUUCUUAACCUGAAGCACCACUUUAGCUAAUGGGGCCUCCUGCUGCUGCCGCGCCGCCAGAGCACGAUUUCUGUUCUCAUCCUGAAGCAAAGUUCUUAACCUGAAGCACUAUUUCUGGGUUAACAGUGUCUGUAACCUGAAGCGUAUGUAACCUGAAGCGUAUGUAACCCGAGGUACCACUGUAUAGGGUUUGUGACUACUGACCGAAUUGUUCAAAUCGCAUGAACCUCAGGCAAAACACAUUUUAGGGUGACAGGAUGCAAAGGAGGACAGGGUUAGUUACGGUUAUCAAAGUGGGGCUUUCAGGCGAUGCAUAUUUUUCUUCAACCCUGCAGAACAAUCUGCACUGCUGAAAAUCACUCUUCUGCACAACUAAGAAGCAUAUAGACAAGGACAUGCUGGGGCAGAAGGGUAGCAAAUAGGGGUGUCGUGCAGUUUAUGGUGACCACACCUGAUGCUGGCAACGACAACCAGCAGACAUACUGCCUAACCAGCCCCACCACUUCCCACCAACCUGUCUACCCCUCCCCUUCCUAGACCAAAGGGAGGCCUUGGCAUCACUACCGCUACUAAAGCAAUGACAAAACAAAUAUGUAGGCCGGUGAAGGGGAAGGGACUGUCACUGCCACCACCAUUGCCAUGAAGAGGCAGGGAGAAGCAGAGGAAAGGGGGGAGAUGAAGGCAACGAAGAGGCACAUAGUAUGUUUGGACCAAGGUCAAUCAAGGACAUAACAGGGAAACAUAUUAGACUUCAUAAUUUUAUUUCCCCCCCCUCAGUUUUUCUGGGUCUUAGCUGAGGUAAUUGACUUCAUUUCAGUAGGUUCUCAUAUAUGAAUACAACAGACAGAGAAAAGCUUCUGGUGUUGCAUUCAGGCAGCAAACCUUGAUAUGAGAUAAUAGGUAUUGAAAAAACUCAGUUGCUCCUGCUUUAAUCAAUGAAAUCAUGGAAGAUAUACAAUAGAAAGGUCCCCUUUUGUGCACACAUACAUGCAGCUUGACAGAAUGACAGGCCUCUUUAUUACUCUAUUAUAGAAACGUGGGCGGGGAACCAGUUUUCAGGACCUUUCCUCAGACCAGACUAUGCCUCAGCCUUUAGAAUAAAUAUGAUGACCCAAAGUCACAGAGUAUAAACUCUCACCACAUGCCAAGGAUUUCACAGUAGCCUCCCCAAAAUCAACUACACUGCUACAGAGAGGAGGCCAGUGAGGUAUAAUGUAUAGAAAUUCACAUAAUAUCAGUAAAGAGAAAAAUCGAAUAGUAUCAGAAGGAAAUUAAUUUUUUCUCACACAUAACUUCCCUAUGGAAGGCAAUAGGUACAAUAACAACAAAAACUACAACUCUCAUAAUUAAUUCUCUGUGUUUCCAACAACAUGGCAAUGAUAUGCUUCCUUCCUUGAAUGAAAUCUUGGGACUGAAUGCCUUGGAGGGAAAAUCAGGUAGUAGCCACUGUGCAGCACAGUGCUUUGGGAAUAGGAAGAACCACUAGGAGCAAAGGUGCUUUCUGCCCUGCCCUGCUCUGUUCUCUUUUCAACAGUGCAAUUUUAGCAUUGCCUUCAUUGGCAUUAUCCAUUUGAUCUGAGGACAAAGUCAUGUGGAGUGGCCUGUGUACUAGUAAAGAGAAGCAACAAUGAGAGAGCCUACUUUGCAUUUUUUUCAUUAAGGUCAAUAAAAAAGAAGGGUGGAGAGAAGGAAGAAGAAAGAACUGCCCAGGAAUGCCAUACAUCCAUUGUGUGCUUGGAUUAUUAGCCACUGAUGGGGAAGGCAAAGGGUCUUCUUGCUCCCAUCUGCUCUGCUCUCUUCACCCACUGCAAAUGAUUAUAGAUCCACACUUGUUUACCAUGUUCAGACUUCAGGAAGCAGUAGACUGUAACUAAUCAAAAUCAGCAAUCCUGGAUUCCCAAACUUCAAAGACUCAAAUAAGAGAAUAGAUGGCCCCCAUAUUCCCAUCCCAGUUAGCUGACUGUGGUUUCACAGAACAAAAGCCAACCUAAUUUUCAAAAUGUCAUUAAGGAAGCUUUAAUAAUAUAAAUAGGGUGUGUGCGUUGACUUGGUUUAGGAGCUAAAUAACCUUGUGAAUUGGGAUGAUUUUGCAGUAUUAUUUAUUCUGUAUUUCUGUUUUAUAGCUCUAUAUUUGCCUAUAUCUCUGUGGUCUUCCCAUCCAUGGUUUUUUUUGCAAGAAAUAAGGCUGUCCAAAAUGUUACACACAGAGCACUUAAGAGCUCUCAGUUGGGUUUAGUUGUUGUCGAAACACAGAAAUGGGGGUGUGUGUCUUUUUUUAAAAGAUGAAAGCUUAAUUUAACUUUAUUUUUUUAAGUCCUAUAUUGAUCAGCUUUAACAACAACUACAACAACAAACCUCAGAGCUCUUGGUAACGCCAAGGUUGCAGAUCUCCUGGGUAUUCCUGCACUGCUUGGACUAGAUUACUCUCAGGAUCUCUUCCAACUUCUAUGAUUCUUCAGAACUCUACAGGCAGCAUUCUAGAUAGCCUCAUGAUGCAAGGCCUGUCUAAGAUCUAUCGGAGGACAUAAACUAACCCUGGAUAAGAAAUGCAGGAAUGAAGCGGCAAUUUUUUUUAUUAAAAAAAUUAUUUUAAGGUAAGGUAAGAGACAACCCUUCACUUCCCCAACCCCAGAGAUUAUGGAGGAAAGUGAAUCCCUUUUAUUUCCCCCAUAAAUUGUCUGUAAUUUGACAGACUUAACCCACUCUGGACGGGUUCCUGCACAUUGUUUUAUACAGAGUAGAAAACAAUUACAGAUCAAGUGGAGAGUACACAGGGCAGCUCAGAAACGGUGGAUUAAAAAAAAAAUGCACUGAUAUGGGUGAAUGCAAAAUGAAUCUUACAGCCUGGGCAUCUCUCUAAUAAUGAUGAUCAAAUCUGUCAAACUAAACAAACAAUCUCACAAGCAUUUUCAGGGAAAGGGUUCAUGCUAGCACAGAAUCAUAGAGUUGGAAGAGGCAUCAAUAUUAUCUGGUCCACCCCCACCAAUGCAGGAAAUCCACUGUUGCAGCAACCCUGAUAGUUAUAGGUGGUCAAGCAGCCUCUGCUUAAAAAUUUCCAAUGAAUGAGAGUUCACCAUCUUCCAAAGCAGUCUGUUAAGUAGCUUAUAGCACCAGGAAGUUCUUCCUAGUGUUUCAUCCUUAUCUUCUUGUUCUCUUUUUCUUUUUGUAGCUGGAACCCAUUGCUUCAAGUCCCAUGUUCUGGAGUAGCAGAAGACAAAUUUGCUCUUAUUAUCUCUGCAAUAGUCCUCCAGAUAUUUGAAGAUGGCUAUCAUGUUGCUUCUUAAUCAUCUGUUCUCCUGGCUAAACAUAACGCAGCUCCUUUAACCUUUCCUCAUGAGACUUGGUUUCCAGGCUCUUCACUAUCUUUGUCACUGUCCUCUGGAGAUGGUCCAGCUUGUCAAUAUCCUUCUUAAGCUGUGGUGCCUAGUACUCUAGGUGAGGUCUGACCAAAACAGAAAUAGAGCACUACCAUUACUUCCUGCAAUUCGGACACUAUACUCCUGUUGAUGCAGUCUAGAAUUGCAUUCGCCUUUUUAGCUGCCAC